GCAGUAGCCGCGGUAAUACGAAGGGGGCUAGCGUUGCUCGGAUUUACUGGGCGUAAAGGGCGCGUAGGCGGACAGUUUAGUCAGUGGUGAAAGCCCGGGGCUCAACCAAUAGUCUGCAUCGGAAACUGCGAGGCUUGAGAGUGGGAGAGGUGAGUGGAAUUUCCGGUGUAGCGGUGAAAUGCGUAGAUAUCGGAAGGAACACCUGUGGCGAAAGCGGCUCACUGGACCAUUUCUGACGCUGAUGCACGAAAGCUAGGGGAGCAAACAGGAUUAGAUACCCCCGUAGUCCCUGUCUCUUAUAC
Molecule: ribosomal RNA, 302 nt
Filed under: uncultured bacterium
Lineage: Bacteria
Description: partial 16S ribosomal RNA
Rfam family: Bacterial small subunit ribosomal RNA
Source: RNAcentral